UUUCCAUUUGAUCAUUGGACGUUGCUGUGAUGCAUUGUGCAGUCUAAUGGCACAGUGUAGGAAAAAAUUCCUGUGCCGUUCUUGGCUGCAGGGUUGUCGCUUUAAGAAGAAUAUAAUAUACACUUUUUUCGCGCAUGCAGGUUUUACGACCAGUUUGGUUUACAACGCGUGUGAUGUGCAUGAUUAUUUAUUUUUAUUCAAGAAGUUAAAGUAAUGCGAAGAAAAGCUUCCUUGGUUUUCAACAACUAACAUAGCGUUGGUCUUAGUAAUGUAAAUGAUUAAAGGUGUCAAAUACCCUGUCUAUAACAAAGGGGAGCAGAGUUUAAGUUGUCAUCUAAUCUCUUUAACGCCUCACUGUCUCAGGGCAAGGUAUGGGAACUUUAUUUGUCACGUGGGACACAAUAUGGUUUCUGUUACCUUACUUCCUUGUUUUCAACAACAAAAACAUUCUUGAUGCUAGUAAUGGUUUGAAUGGAGGUAAACUGUGUUUAUUUUCUCACAAUGUUAAACAUGUCCUCAAAAAGGAGUUUAAACAUUGUUUUCCCCACUUAUUUCCUUCUCUCAGUGUUAAACACAAUAUUGGUUUAUGUGGACUGAAUCUUCAAGAGGGUACUCUAAUUUUUUGUUAGUUUAUUUUAAGUCAUUAGUUUCUUAGUCUGGUUUUUAAAUUUCUGUCAUCUAAACCUGAUACAAGUAAUGGUGUUCUAGGUUGUUGUUUUUUUUUAAAUCACAGGAAAUCAAUGAAUAAAGUUAUUUCCUAACAAGGAUGUUCAUAUGCGGGAAUAGGAUAAGGGUAAAAAGAGGUGUUAAACAUUUAUUUCCUUUACAAAAAAGAGGGUUACUCCCCCAUGAGUGACAACACGUGGUAAGAGGUGUGGGGAUUUCCUAUAUAAACAAGCAUUUUUGUGACUGUCCGUAUCUCGCCAACACAUUCGUGGAGACCCUACACCUGAACGCAUCUACAUUCUAUGAAAAUGGCUCUUGUUGCCGCAUUGAUGCCCAUGGAAACGCAUAACUCUGAAUACGGUUCAUUUAAGAGACCCCGCUUCUUAGUAGAGAGACAUUUGUUUGAUGAAAUACGGGGGCCAUCAUCGGUAAAACAUUCUCCAGCCAAAAAUCCUGCGAAACACGGAGUAUAUAGUAAUUUCCAACAAAGGGUUCAGCCCCAAGCCUCAGACAGCGGAUGCAGGAUUCUUUUUCAAAGACGAGAAGGAUCUGCAGCAACUUUAGAGAAAGUCGGAACAACUUCGUGUCAAGCCCCCAUUGAAGAAAAUAACCGCUGCAACAAAAUUAACGAGCAAAAAAUUAGAAUAGCGUCUUGAAGAUUUCAGUCUACGGUAUUGUGUUUAAUAAUGUUUGAACUCCUUUUUGAGGACAUAUUUAACAUUGUGAGAAAAUACAUGCAGUUUACCUCCAGUCAAACCAUUACUAGCAUCAACAAUGUUGUAGUUGUUGAAACACCUUUCCUUGUGUAUGGUUUUACAUAACACACAGCACACAGUGAAAUAACGAAUGAAAAUACACAGUGCUUUAAUCCCCUUGAUGAGAACUUGUUUUGCUUUGUGAGAAAAAAAUGCCGUUUACUUCCAUUCAGAUUUAUUUAUUACAAAGACCAAUGCUAUGUAAGUUGUUGAAAACCAAGGAAAUAAUGUCAAUCACAGCUAUUUUGCCACUUUUAUUCUCAUUACUUUAACUUCUUGAAUAAAAAUAAAAUGAAAGAAAAUAACCGCGUAUUCUACAUCAGAACCAUAUUGUGUCCCACGUGACAAAUAAAGUUCCCAUGCAUUCCCCUUGAGACAGUGAGGUGUUAAAGUGAUUAGAUAACAACCUAAACUUUGCUUACCUUUGUUAUAAACAGGAGGCUGGACAUCUUUUAUCAAACCAUUUCACACUCCUUGAUCUCAACCCCCUUAAUGACUUUGGUGUUUGAAAGCCUUUGUUCAGAUUUACCUCAGUGACACAAACUUAAUCAAACUAGCAGCAGUCGAGUUGCUAACAUCAUUUCCUGCUGGCCGCCAUGUUUCCAGUGAGAUUGAGCUGGUUCUUGGCACCGAGGCCUCGUCACCACAUGUGUUAAUCCCACAAUAUUCAACACCCUGUUACAACUUCCUACCUGUUAAAAACUUUCCCCAAAAACCGCCAGGCAGACGUGCAUGCCGUCACUCACUGUCACACCAUUAUAUACCCACACAGGACACUUCACGUCA
Solea senegalensis (Senegalese sole) is the source of this 2207-nucleotide long non-coding RNA. RefSeq lists it as uncharacterized. Lineage: Eukaryota; Metazoa; Chordata; Actinopteri; Pleuronectiformes; Soleidae. The transcript is spliced from 4 exons. The record is from RefSeq and is a predicted model, not a curated record.